This 497-nucleotide ribosomal RNA is filed under the name uncultured bacterium. RNAcentral's name for it is "partial 16S ribosomal RNA". It matches the Rfam family "Bacterial small subunit ribosomal RNA", at positions 28 to 507 of the family's 1533-position model. The record is from RNAcentral.
GAUGAACGCUGGCGGCGUGCCUAAUACAUGCAAGUCGAGCGAACAGACGAGGAGCUUGCUCCUCUGACGUUAGCGGCGGACGGGUGAGUAACACGUGGAUAACCUACCUAUAAGACUGGGAUAACUUCGGGAAACCGGAGCUAAUACCGGAUAAUAUAUUGAACCGCAUGGUUCAAUAGUGAAAGACGGUUUUGCUGUCACUUAUAGAUGGAUCCGCGCCGCAUUAGCUAGUUGGUAAGGUAACGGCUUACCAAGGCAACGAUGCGUAGCCGACCUGAGAGGGUGAUCGGCCACACUGGAACUGAGACACGGUCCAGACUCCUACGGGAGGCAGCAGUAGGGAAUCUUCCGCAAUGGGCGAAAGCUUGACGGAGCAACGCCGCGUGAGUGAUGAAGGUCUUCGGAUCGUAAAACUCUGUUAUUAGGGAAGAACAAAUGUGUAAGUAACUAUGCACGUCUUGACGGUACCUAAUCAGAAUGCCACGGCUAACUACGUG